UACGGAAUGUGCAAACGUUAUUCGGAAUCACUGGGCUUAAAGAGUCCGUAGGCGGCUUGUUAGGUGAGGUGUGAAAUCCCUCGGCUUAACCGAGGAACUGCGCCCAAAACUACCGUGCUCGAGGGAGAUAGAGGUGAGCGGAACUUAGGGUGGAGCGGUGAAAUGCGUUGAUAUCCUAAGGAACACCGGUGGCGAAAGCGGCUCACUGGAUCUCUUCUGACGCUGAGGCACGAAAGCUAGGGUAGCGAACGGG
RNAcentral lists this ribosomal RNA (253 nucleotides) under uncultured bacterium. RNAcentral's name for it is "partial 16S ribosomal RNA". It matches the Rfam family "Bacterial small subunit ribosomal RNA", at positions 524 to 776 of the family's 1533-position model. The record is from RNAcentral.